GACUAUUUAUGAAGAUGCCAAUGUUUUGUUGUGCCGCUACCUUUUGUAGCCCAAACUAUCUGGGCGGGCAUAGAAGGACAAUGUUCUCUUAGGAAUAUCCCCUCCCUUGUGAACACUGUUGGGCAACGCCCUACUAUUUUUUGUAAUGGAUCCUGACUAGACUCCUAAACUACUGUUAAUUUAUUAAUGCAAAUCUGGUUC
This 201-nucleotide long non-coding RNA is filed under the name Capsicum annuum. RNAcentral describes it as "long non-coding RNA (CANN_LNC020830)". Lineage: Eukaryota; Viridiplantae; Streptophyta; Magnoliopsida; Solanales; Solanaceae. The record is from RNAcentral.